GGUGAGGAAUUAGUGAGUGAGUCACUAUGUCUCAAAUGAGUGGGACUAGUGAGCUUGGUAGCCGUAUCUGGAUUUGAUCGGUGAGGUUGAACUAUAUGUUCACGAAUAGUCGGUACCGCAUGCAUGGAGUCUCAUUGCAUAAUGUAUGUAUGGCGUAUAAUAUGAAUGGAUGUAUUCCAAUAUUAUACGUGUGUUUGUGUUGAUGUUGAGUACGAGUAUGAGUUGC
Molecule: long non-coding RNA, 226 nt
Filed under: Lathyrus oleraceus (garden pea)
Lineage: Eukaryota; Viridiplantae; Streptophyta; Magnoliopsida; Fabales; Fabaceae
Description: Pisum sativum (pea) long non-coding RNA (PSAT_LNC003939)
Source: RNAcentral